UAUAAAGUGCCUGACAAAAGGAUUAUUUCGAUAAAAUAAAUCAUAUAUAUAAAUUAUAUCUUUAUUA
Molecule: transfer RNA, 67 nt
Filed under: Orussus occidentalis
Lineage: Eukaryota; Metazoa; Arthropoda; Insecta; Hymenoptera; Orussidae
Description: tRNA-Ile
Source: RNAcentral